CAGUCGCCGCGGGAAUACGUAGGGUGCGAGCGUUAAUCGGAAUUACUGGGCGUAAAGCGUGCGCAGGCGGUUUUGUAAGACAGGCGUGAAAUCCCCGGGCUCAACCUGGGAAUGGCGCUUGUGACUGCAAAGCUAGAGUGCGGCAGAGGGGGAUGGAAUUCCGCGUGUAGCAGUGAAAUGCGUAGAUAUGCGGAGGAACACCGAUGGCAAAGGCAAUCCCCUGGGCCUGCACUGACGCUCAUGCACGAAAGCGUGGGGAGCAAACAGGAUUAGAUACCCGAGUAGUCCCUGUCUCUUAUAC
RNAcentral lists this ribosomal RNA (301 nucleotides) under uncultured bacterium. RNAcentral's name for it is "partial 16S ribosomal RNA". It matches the Rfam family "Bacterial small subunit ribosomal RNA", at positions 509 to 807 of the family's 1533-position model. The record is from RNAcentral.